GUCUAGAGCCAUACCACCCUGAACAUGCCUGGUCUGAUCUGAUCUCAGAAGCUAAGAAGGGUUGGGCUUGGUUAGUACUUGGAUGGGAGAAAAAGAACAGAAC
Ailuropoda melanoleuca (giant panda) is the source of this 103-nucleotide non-coding RNA. The record is from Rfam. NCBI's taxonomy places the organism in Eukaryota, Metazoa, Chordata, Mammalia, Carnivora, Ursidae.